UACGAAGGGGGCUAGCGUUGCUCGGAAUCACUGGGCGUAAAGGGCGCGUAGGCGGAUCUCUAAGUCAGAGGUGAAAGCCCAAGGCUUAACCUUGGAAUUGCCUUUGAUACUGGAGAUCUUGAGACCGGAAGAGGUGAGUGGAACUGCGAGUGUAGAGGUGAAAUUCGUAGAUAUUCGCAAGAACACCAGUGGCGAAGGCGGCUCACUGGUCCGGUUCUGACGCUGAGGCGCGAAAGCGUGGGGAGCAAACAGG
RNAcentral lists this ribosomal RNA (253 nucleotides) under uncultured bacterium. Its description in RNAcentral is "partial 16S ribosomal RNA". It matches the Rfam family "Bacterial small subunit ribosomal RNA", at positions 524 to 776 of the family's 1533-position model. The record is from RNAcentral.